UUCAAGUCCACAUAAUCUAGUGUAUAUUCCAGUCCAACAAAAGAGCAUUGAUACUCCACACAAUCUGGCUUGCAUGGGAAGAAGAGCAUCAAUUGUCCACAACACGCCACACAAUCUAGUCCUGCUACAGUCCAACAAUCUUAAAUCAGUAGUGGAAAAGGAGGUUGGGGAUAGAUCCCAGCUUAUUCAUCUCUACUCCAGCUAGGGCGAUGGGAGAAGGAGGCAUCGGGGUCAGCCACGCGCAGUGCUCGGCGAACCAGCCUCACCUUGCUUUCUUUCUCGUCCGCAGCCAGAGGAGGUUGUCGCUCCGUCCACUCACUCAUCUGCAUCGGUAGAAGAAGUAGUGGGAGCGGUAGAGAACUGGUUAUGGAAGAGAGAAGAGAGUGAUGGGGACAGAUGUGAGAGGAGGGGAGGAGGAGAGUUCUACCUCCGCGGCGGUGAGGAGGCGCAUCGGCAAUGUGCACAGAGGCGAUGGGGCGGUGAGAUCCAAUCUCAUACGAGAGAAG
RNAcentral lists this long non-coding RNA (506 nucleotides) under Triticum aestivum (bread wheat). RNAcentral describes it as "long non-coding RNA (TAES_LNC018080)". The record is from RNAcentral. Lineage: Eukaryota; Viridiplantae; Streptophyta; Magnoliopsida; Poales; Poaceae.